AUACGUAGGGCGCAAGCGUUGUCCGGAAUUAUUGGGCGUAAAGAGCUCGUAGGUGGCUGGUCGCGUCUGCCGUGAAAGCCCAUGGCUUAACUGUGGGUCUGCGGUGGAUACGGGCAGGCUAGAGGUAGGUAGGGGCAAGCGGAAUUCCUGGUGUAGCGGUGCAAUGCGCAGAUAUCAGGAGGAACACCGGUGGCGAAGGCGGCUUGCUGGGCCUUACCUGACGCUGAGUAGCGAAAGCGCGGGGAGCGAACAGGAUUAGAUACCCUGGUAGUCCACGCUGUAAACGUUGGGCGCUAGGUGCGGGGUCCUUCCACGGGUUCCGUGCCGUAGCUAACGCAUUAAGCGCCCCGCCUGGGGAGUACGGCCGCAAGGCUAAA
RNAcentral lists this ribosomal RNA (377 nucleotides) under uncultured bacterium. Its description in RNAcentral is "bacterial SSU rRNA". It matches the Rfam family "Bacterial small subunit ribosomal RNA", at positions 523 to 898 of the family's 1533-position model. The record is from RNAcentral.